This 439-nucleotide ribosomal RNA is filed under the name uncultured bacterium. RNAcentral's name for it is "partial 16S ribosomal RNA". It matches the Rfam family "Bacterial small subunit ribosomal RNA", at positions 339 to 795 of the family's 1533-position model. The record is from RNAcentral.
CUACGGGGGGCACCAGUGAGGAAUAUUGCACAAUGGGGGGAGCCCUGAUGCAGCAACGCCGCGUGGAGGAUGACGCAUUUCGGUGUGUAAACUCCUUUUAUAUGUCAAGAAAAUGACGGUAGCAUAUGAAUAAGCACCGGCUAACUCCGUGCCAGCAGCCGCGGUAAUACGGAGGGUGCAAGCGUUACUCGGAAUCACUGGGCGUAAAGGACGCGUAGGCGGGUUGGAAAGUCAGGUGUGAAAUCCUACAGCUUAACUGUAGAACUGCACUUGAAACUUCUAAUCUAGAGUAUGGGAGGGGGAGAUGGAAUUAGUGGUGUAGGGGUAAAAUCCGUAGAUAUCACUAGGAAUACCUAAAGCGAAGGCGAUCUCCUAGAACAUUACUGACGCUAAGGCGUGAAAGCGUGGGGAGCAAACAGGAUUAGAUACCCUAGUAGUC